UACGGAGGAUCCGAGCGUUAUCCGGAUUUAUUGGGUUUAAAGGGUGCGCAGGCGGGAGAUUAAGUCGGCGGUGAAAUUUUGCAGCUCAACUGUAAAAGUGCCUUCGAAACUGGUUUCCUUGAGUGUAGAUGAAGUAGGCGGAAUUUGUGGUGUAGCGGUGAAAUGCAUAGAUAUCACGAGGAACUCCGAUUGCGCCGGCAGCUUACUAAACUACUACUGACGCUCAGGCACGAAGGCGUGGGGAUCAAACAGGAUUAGAUACCCGCGUA
This 269-nucleotide ribosomal RNA is filed under the name uncultured prokaryote. RNAcentral describes it as "partial 16S ribosomal RNA". It matches the Rfam family "Bacterial small subunit ribosomal RNA", at positions 524 to 792 of the family's 1533-position model. The record is from RNAcentral.